Non-coding RNA from Paramuricea clavata, 78 nucleotides. The record is from the annotation of a GenBank genome assembly. NCBI's taxonomy places the organism in Eukaryota, Metazoa, Cnidaria, Anthozoa, Malacalcyonacea, Plexauridae.
GCCUCUGUAGCUCAGUUACGUUGGUUAGAGCACUGCACCAGAGUCGCAGGGCCGCAGGUUCGAUUCCUGCCAGGGACC